This 437-nucleotide small RNA is filed under the name Arabidopsis thaliana (thale cress). RNAcentral's name for it is "ATSL120600". The record is from RNAcentral. Lineage: Eukaryota; Viridiplantae; Streptophyta; Magnoliopsida; Brassicales; Brassicaceae.
UCCAAUGAUUUCUCGUCAAGGAUGACGUCGCUGAACUUCUGCCAUCUAUCAGUAACAAUUGCGUAUCUUCCAUCCUGCGCAACAAAAUAACCAUAUAAAUACCUCAAAUGCCGAUCUUCUUUUCAUGACCAAUAACAUUAAACUGAAGAUGAAACUAGUCAGAGAAUCACCUUCUUUCUGCAGCUAAGGUCCAAUAUCAGUCUUUGUUUCCCAACAAUGCUCACAAUAUCUUUGAGUCUUUCAAGAUCAAUCUUUCCAUUGUUAAAUACAUACUGAAAUACAAAACGAAAACAUAAUUAUCAUCAGCUAUACUUACUAUGAUAACAUAUUCAAUCAAGCUAGAUGACAGCUAUACCGAAGUGACAAUGACAUGGCUUGCUCCCUCCUCAAUAUAACUCAUGCAAUUCUCAGAAUUGAUUCCACCUCCAACUUGCAAA